AUACACACACACACACACACACACACACACAGUGUGGACCACCAUUAGAGUAGCCAUGAGUAAUGGUCGUUGUGUUUCUUUUGUUCUAAUUCUUAGGUAAUUAAAUUUUUAUGAAUACUAAACUUGACAAUUAAUGAAGUUGACACAGCGUUACAGUUUGCUGCUCUUUACCUCAGGGUUCGUUAAUUUUGAUUUGCACUUUCUCUGUAUGCUCUUUCAGAUCCCAGACAUUUGCAGAGGUCUUAACAGAGCGGAUAGGCCAUGAGAUCUGUGCUGGGACUAUCUAAAGGUUAACAGGGCCCUGACUGGGCUGACCACUGUUAUAUAACACGGGGGAAGAGGGGAGUUUGCCAUCACAGGUGAGAACAAUGUGACAGGCACCCAGGGCUCUGGCUGAGGUGAGUCACUUACACUUAGACCCAAAAGGACAAUAGCACUGUAGGGAAGCUCACAGAUUGGUGCUGGUAAGUCUCCCUUUUGUCUUCUUCAUCUUCCCUUGGGGACAGAGCAAUCAGUUUGCACCUUCUUACCUCUAGACCUCAGAGGAGACUCUCAAUAUCUUAUUAUUAUGACUUCAAUGUAGUAGGUAUGCUGCAGCUCAGAAAAGUCCAACAUAAUAAACACUGAUCUUAUCAUAUAUAUAUAUAUAUAUAUAUAUAUAUAUAUAUAUAUAUAUAUAUAUAUAUAUAUAAUGGAGGAUGGUAACUUGCUUUUUAAAAAAACGGUUCCUUGCCCCAUAAAAUGAAUUCAACUUUGGUCUCCCUAAAAUAGCCCACUCCCUUGGUGCAUGUUAAAUAUAAUUCAAUUUACAAAAAUUCGAUUUGCAUAUAACCUUUUCUGCAGCACAUCCAUUGUGCAAAGCAAUGUACACUUGUAAUUGGCUGCAAAUUGCCAGGAGACCACGCUUGCACAUAUUGUUCCUAGAUGUGCAAUUUUUUUCUUAGUCUCCACGGGAUAAGGGGUGGGGGUGGAGUGGUUGGAAUUCCAGUUGUUCAUCUGAUCCCAUUGGCUAUGCCGAGGAGGGAGGUUUGUCAGUUAUUCGGAGGCAGCACGUGCUAUGUGCAAAUCAAUGCUGUGCAUUUAGAAGUCGGAAAUGGGAAGAGGCUUGGCGACUGGGCCUGGACUGCCUGGCUGCAGUUGGUGACAACUGAGGACACCAGCGAACCCUCCUUAUCUCAGUGCCUGACAGGCAUCAGGAGAAGAAAUGAAACAGAGGACAACUCACGAUAGUGGCUGGGCUAUCAGUCUUCCCCCAUGAGACACUGACCUUCCGAGAAAAGAGCAGAGCUGGGUCCAGUGACCUGAGCCAUGUGGAGAAAGAGUGUGAGCCCAACUGAGCCAGUAGCUCCAGUAUCCUACCCUGGGAGCCUUCUGGCCACAGGAAUGUAGCCAAGACAUUUAGCAAUGACUGGUGGGUGGGAGUGGGGGCCGGGGGCGGGGCGAAGGUGGAAGGGCGCAGCAUUUUCUCAUGCAUCCACCUAAGAGGCACAAGUGGCUUCUUUUUGCAGCAAAUUCAAUUAAAGUAGAUUAUUGCCAAUGAUGCCAAGUCACAUUUAAAACCCUUUUCAACCUGAAUAUUAAAAACCCUGCCUGGCACAUCUUGCUCUUCUUUCAGAGAUAAUACUCAACACGCACACUGCUGCUAACUCACCUCCCUGAGCCUCACUCCCCGCCUCUUCUGAUUAGGCCUCUCCUGUCUCCCGGGAGUUUUCAUCUGGGAGGCUAACAGUGCUGGUUCCCCAGGCUAGCCUGCAGGGUGUGUCAGGUACCUGGGAAGAGUCAGGCCCCUCCCUCUGGAGACCUGGGCUGUAACCGCCAGAGCUUGGGAGAUGCGCUGAAAAGGAGUCUAGAGAUGCCUACCUAGACCUCAUUUUUUUUUUCUUGCUGGAGGGAAAAGCUCCUUAGGCCGCCAUGUAGCUGAGAAGCCUCUCACACUGCAAGUUCAACUCCCUGAAGGCAAUGCUUGGCUCCUUCUGGUUUUAAGGUAGGUGUUAUAAAUUGCCUGCCCUAAUAAGUAACAAUGACUUGCAGACUGGCAUUCCUGCUAAACCAAGUAGGAACACUGAAAACUUAUGAAAGUCUGCUUCUGAUGGCGGCUUUAAAGUCUUAUUUUUAUUUAUUUUUUUAUUAUUUCUGGAGAUGUGGUUUGUUUUGUUUUGUGUUUUGUUUUGUCAUGGAGACAAAGCCUCCUUCUGUAGCCUGAAAUUCAUUGUGCAGCCAUGGCCUUAAACUCAUGGCAAUCCCUCUGUCUCAGACUCCUGUGUGUUGAGAUUCUAAGCAUGAGACAUUGUAACUGAUUCCCCAGGGAAAGCUAAUCUCAGCCCACUUCCUCCAUAAAAUUGCUUAUUUUGGCCAAAUUUCCUUUUUCUUUUUCAGUGAGGUAUGGCGCCAUAUGACUACUGUGCCAUUACCACAGGUUCCCACUAUGGUGCCCUGGGAGGCAGAUCACACAUUGUAUGGUUGCACUGGGCAGGGCUGGCCCUGGGAAGGAUGGGGCUAACAUGUUUUUAAUUAAGUUCAAGGGAAGGAAAUGGCUUUGUGAGCAAGCCCAGCCAGUUCUUAUUCUAAGCUCCCUGUGCUCAGCACUAUCCUUGACAACACACACAGCCUCUAAGUGAUUGUCCCGAUCUGACUCACAGACUUGAGAGAGGAAACGAAAUCACAGGAUGAGCUGGCAGUGCCCAGUCCCUUGUCGUCAUAGCAAAUUCGAAGUCCCCUUCCCUGCUUCCCUGCUAGUGCCAUGGGCAUGAACAGCAGCCAGGCAGGACAGGCCAACAAAGGUGACAUAUAAAACUAACAGAAGGCCAGCACCACUGCCAUGGACCUUUGUGUGAAGGGCUGGAAGUGCUUAGGCCUAGGUGAUGCAGGCACACUGGAGCCUCUUAGAAUAGGCUCCCAUAUUCUUCCAUUCAUAUGCAAGCCACCUAGAGCGAGAGUAGACAGGAAGCUGAGACAGUAAGUGGCUGAGGAGGAAGCUGAAGUGGAUGAGGCUACACAUGUUCCCUCUGUUCUCCAGAAAUAUCAGUGGGGGAUAGGAGAAUAAGGUAUAAGUCAUGGUUUCUACAGAGACAGUUAUUUUCUGUCCUUUCAUAUGUAUUCAAUGAAGCCAGCAAGGCCUAAGGGGAAGAACCUGGCCCAGCAGAGGCCACCGUAUCAUGAAACAACAGUGACCAGGUCCACAAAGGUUGUAGAAUGUGGAAAGUCAUCCCUGGACCUUGUGGUGUCCUUUCUAUCUCUGUUAGGGAUGUAGACUCCAGAAUCUUCUGGGUUAAGUCCUUGGAAUUUAAUUUGAAGAAGCCUUUUUUUUCCUGCCUACUAUAUAUUGUAGCAACAGGAGCAUGGUGUAUUUCAGAGACCUCCUGUAGCCUGCUUUCUUCUGGAGAGGCAUGGAGUAGAGCCACAGAAAACUGGAAUGGUGACCCGUUAUGGCUGGUGGAAGGGGGUGCUUAAGAAAUCCUUUUCUUUUCAGGUUUCCUCAGCCUCGAGCAUCAGGUUAUAAAUACUCAGAUCCCAAGGUCACACACAAGGGCGAGAGAGCCCUAAUCAUGGAACUCGAGGCUUACAGAACUUCAAGGGAUGGUCAAAGUAGCUUCAGCUUCAACCUUCUUCAGCUCCCCUCUGCCGUUUACCUGUGCAGAAGCAUGCUUACUAUUCUAGUUUCAAUAUAGUUUCAGAGUUCAACUGCCCUCCUGUCUCUUUAUACACGUUGACCCAAACCAUCAAGACCCACCUAAGAGGUGCCCACCAGGCAGGGGAAAUCUCUCUGAGCCUACAAAUAAUAAGUGAAGAAUUUUUAAAAGAUGCUUUGGGAUGGAGGUUAGGGGAUGCAAAGACCCUGGGUUUGAUACUCAGUGAUGCAAAAUAAAUGAGUUUGUAAGAAGUGCCUGGGAGAACCCGUUUCCCUUUCUUGAAGUAUUCAAGUCAGAUAUAAAGCAUAAAAUCCUUAAAAAAACAAAACCUGUACCACAGCACACUGUAGGUUAGCCAUGCCUUGAGUAUUCCCCAAGUGUUAAAUAUUAGGAACUUGGUCUUCAGUGUGGCAAUGGAAGAGGUAAUAGAACCUUUUGAAUUGAUCUCAGUUACAGGCUGCUGGCGGUGUUGUCCUUGAAAGACAUGAAUGUGUUCCUCUGAGAUGCUGCAUGUAUGAUACUCAGUGAUCAAGUCGCCACGUAGCCUCUAACGAAGCACUGGAAGGACAUUCUGACUGGAAGGACAUUCUGACUGGAAGGACAUUCUGUUUAGCCACGGCUAUGCCCUCAGCCACCCCAAAGCUGAAGAGCUUUAGAUCACUUAUCAAAAUGUCCGACAGUUCUGUGGUCAGCUGGCUUGUGUUCACUCAAGCCGUAGCCUCCCACUGUGGUGAGAUGGUAGUUGCAGUUGGAGUCACCUGACACUCAACUGAGCUGGAAGCCCAAGGAUGAGCACUGGCGCCAGCUGCCAGCUGGAGUUACUGUGUGUGUUCUCACUGGGUGGUUUGGGCUUUUAUACUACUGGCAGCUCAUUCCAAAGAGAGGGUGUUCUAGAAAGAAAACUGGUGUCAUGUGUGGUCACCUUCUAGCUCCCAGAACCAGAGACCACAUAAUGCAUGAAUGACAGGAGAUGCGAUUCAGCAGGGGCCAUCUUUGAAAAUCAUCACAGACAGGUAUUAGUGAAGCUGGUCCUAGACCAUAACUGAUCUUGUAUAUGUGGGGUUUUUUAUAACAGCUCCUCUCCCUUCAGCUUUCCCAAAGGUAAAAUGUUAAUGAGAUCAUAUGUGAAUUCUCUGAUAAAUUAAUUAAUGCCUUCUUAUAAAGACUGCUAUUAUUAUUGGCCUGCCUCAUCAUUUCCACCUGGGAGUCCACAGAAAACAGGCACAACAGUGCAUGUAUCUCGACAACAAAAACCACAUUAAAUUCAUUGAAAUAACACAGACAUUCGAAUUGAGCACAGAUCAAAUCCUAUUACAAACAAAUUGCAUUAGGUUGUCUCCAAAAAUCCAGUGGAACCAGAUGUUUUCCGAGCUCUACUUUCUUCAAGCAAACACUCUAUGUAAGCAACGUGCAGGACUGGAGCUGAACGAAAGAGCCCCUGAAACCUGCAGGGUGGGAUUUAGGCCCAUUUUCUUUUAGCCUUGAGUCCCAACACCUUAAAAUCUAAAAAAGGUUUGCAAGGUUUGUAUGUGUGAGAUACCUGGGAAACAGUUAUAUUAUAGAAGUUGCUUCUUCGUUCUCCCAUUAUGCUUCUCUUCCGUUCAGCAGGGAUUGGAUGCACUCACAGUGCAAGAGCCGGACCAACAGCUGGAAGCCUCGCCCACACCAAUAACCUUUUGCACUGCAAGAGUAAAUUCAAAAUAGAGGAAGGGCUUCAAACUUCCCAAGCCUGUGUGGAUGGCUGUUUGUUAGCUCCUUGUCACUGGGGCAACAUACGUGAGAGAAGCCACUGACAAAAGGAAAGAUCUCAGUUUUUGUGAUUUCUGGUCCCUGGUCAGCUGGUUCCACUGCUGUGGACCUGAGGCAAAACUGAGACGUCGUGUAAGAGCAUGGAUGAGGAAUGCUGCUCACCUCAGCACAUCUGGAGAUGAGUUAGACACCAUAUGUACUCCAUUAUUUGUGUUUGGGUUUUCUCUGAUUUUUGUCUGAAAUGAAGCAAGCACAGCCUGCGAAUCUGCUGAAAGACUAAGAUUCAGAGAUACACAGAAGGAGACAGAGUUGGGGACAGUACUUUCCCAGGGGUAAUUUGUGUCUGAACAAGAUAUGGAAAGUUCUGGAAGGAGACGCACUGAAAGGACAAGCGUGGCUUCAGGAAACUUACAGUGCAGGAUUCAGGCAGUGAUUUGGCUGAUACGAAUUUCAGUCCUGUACUCCCGAAACAAAGAGAACAAGCUGGGAUCCUAUCAAAGAGCGAAGUGCUUGCUGGGAGAAAGGAGAACAGCCUGAUGCCCUCCAGCAGCUAAUGGAUGCAGGACCUCCACAUCCAUCCCCUCCUGGACCAGCGUGCCUGGGCCACAGGCUGGAGGUUCAAACAAUACAAACUUCCUUCUCUCAGCUUUGAAGGUUGAAAUCCAUGAUCAAGGUGCUGGCAGGAUUGGUCUCCGAAGCCUCUGUGCCUGGCCAAUGGAUCAUCUGUCACAUCUAGCUGUCUCUAUGCUUGGUAUCUGUGUGCCCUGGAGUUUCUCUUUGCCACAAAGACACCAACUAUAUCAGGUUAACGUCUACUCAUUGUCUCAAUCUAACCUAAUCACCUUCCCAGCAAACUCUAUACCCGAACCGGACAGCCUCAUCUCUGCCCAUAUAAGCUCCUUUAACCUUAGUUAUAUUUUUACAGACACAUGAUCUGAGCCACUGCAGUUUGGCCCUUAACAUGAGUAUAGAGGACAUACUCUAGACACACCCACCGUUUUCCCAAUGCUGCUUUAAUAUGUAAGAAAGAGCAGGUGAUAUAUCCGUGGUACAUAGAUGUGGGCUGUCUCUUAGGCUUAACUUGAAGGAAGAGUUACAGGAUAUAAGAGCUAUCUACCUAGAGAUGUUUCAGGCACUGAAAAUUGUAAGAAACUAGUUUGAUUUUGGCUGAACUGUCUUUUAAAUGGUGCAGCGAAAGCUUCAGCUGUGCUUUCAAUGGAGAGAAGUACAGGUAGCUGCCUGUAUCUAAUCUGGGCUGGGUUAAAAAAAAAUGUGACUCUCAGCCUCUUGUUCCACCCAUCCUUUUCUGCGUUUUCGCUUUUUUAACACAAAUGCUAUUUGCUCUGUCAUUUUAUUCCAAUCCUUUUCAAUAAAAAAUAUUUAAUUAGGAGACUAUUAAAACACAAAUGCUAUCAUAUAUGACGACAAUGCCAUUCCCAUGCCUUGGAAAUGAGUACCAAUUUCACACUUUAAACCCAAUUCAAAUUGUCCUCAUUUCAAAAAAAAAUUAUAAUUGAUUACAUGAAGCAGGCAUCUAGACAAGAUCAGUAUUGCAGUUGGCUGUUAGUAGAUCAUUUGUUGUGGGAAAAUGGUGUUUUCCAGAGACAUCCGAUUAGCCUGUCCUGUAAGGUUGGGAUUUUAUUUGUUUACUUGGGAACGGUUCCAAUUACUAAAAUAAAUUCAUGUUCUGAUGGAUUAUGAUAGAAUUGCGGGUUUAUUUAGCCUUGAGGACUGCACAUUGGCCUGGUGAGUGGCCAGCCUUACCACAGAGAGAAUUAAACUAGCCUUUUCUCUGGCUUCUCCAUUUCUAUGUCAUUGGAGUAGAGUCUAAAAUGUUUCCCCUCAUCCUAAGUAACAUUUCUAAUACAAAACACAAGUAAUAGACAAGCUCCCUGAGUUCUGUUACUCAGUUCAUGCACACGUGGCCUGGGUUUUAGCUGUCCUCUCCACCCAUCUUUAAGACAUCUAGUCUCAAAGCCAGUUCCACCACCCCUCAAGGCCCCCAUCCUUUCUUUGAGUCUUCCAGGAUCAGUUUCCUCAUGGACUCCAUACACCUGUGAUCACAAGAAUUGCCUGUUUCAUAUACAUCAACUGGACACAAAACUCGGCUGCUUGGGUGGCUUUCACAAGCUGUCACAACCAUUCGGUAUCUCGUGAGCUUUGUCACUUUUAGUACCAGGAGGAGAGCCAGUGAGAUGAUUGUGGUGGGAAAAGGUCACUUGCUAUACAAACCUAAAGACCAGACUUCAAGUCCCAAAACACAUAGUAGAAGGAGCAAGGUGUCUCCCAAAAGUUGUCCUCUGGCCCUCAUACCAAGUAUCCUAUGCACAUGCAUGCACACACACACAUAACGAUACACUUAAUAAAACGGGGGCUGAUAUGUGGGUCAUGACCUUUCACCUCUGGCUGGUCUCUGGCUCCCAUGCUUUCUAAUCCACUUCCUUCCAUUCUCUUUUCAAUCCCUCUUCUUGUCUCGUUCAGAAUAAUUUCUAGCUUAGUCUUGGGUCUCAUGCUACACUGCAGAUGGCUUGCUAAAAUCUUUCCCGUCCUCGUAUAUUUCAGGGCUUGCCUUCAGAUGAGUUUUGAAGAAUGAGUUCUUCUCCACCUUCUUAGAAGUAGACAUUGACCAGCUCCUACUUCCAAUCCAGCUAUCAUGCCCCCCUUUACCCUCCUGUCCUGUGCUGCGGCGAUCUCCUCAGAUGCUGCUCUCUGACUGAGCAGGGCGCUAGAAAUGCUGUCUGCCUGGUACUUCUGACACAGUUCAGAAAAUAGUAUCAGAGUGAGGAAGGAUGUCCCGUACUCCUAAUGGCUUUUACAUCUUGUUGAAGCAACACACCCCGAGUAUUGACGUUCCCAGUUUUACCUGUGUGCAGCUCUCGAAAGCCCCACUGCAAACCUACAACAGAGAUCAAACUUCUUAAUCCUGGCCCUUUGGUGAAGCAAAAUUUCUCCACUUCGCAAAUUCCCGGGGCCAAGGAGUUCUCUAUUGCAACAGAAAAGACAAACAAACAAAACAACAACAACAAAAACCCCAAUUCUCUGAAUAAUUGUGCCUCACCCAAUUCGGCAUGGCACAAAGGCUAACUGGACUCUGGUUCUCUUUGGACUUGGUUUCAGGAAGAUGUGCAGUCAUACCAGUGAUGUUGUCUGCCAGGAACUGCAGAAACCAUCAAUGUGAGACUCAGUUCUAGUCCCCCGUAUCUUGAAUCUGCUUAUAAACUCUUGUUUCUCUCCUAGAUAUGUUUACAGGUGUGUGUGUGUGUGUGUGUGUGUGUGUGUGUGUGUGUUAUAUGGGUUUGGACAUGUUCAUGUGUUGGUGUUUAUACCACUGUGUAUACCAGGAGUAGACAUCGGGUCUCUUUCUCAACCCUUUCUGUACUGAUUUUUUUUUUAAAGAAAGGAUCUUAAACUGAACCUGGGUCUCACUGACUGGCUAGACCAGGAUCUCUCUCCAUCUCCCCAGUACUGAGAUUACAGGCACAUGCUACACCAGUGAGCUCAGCUUUUUCUGUAGACCCUGGUGGGUCUAGCACUUGGGCCUUCAUGCUUAUGUGGCAAGCAGUUUCCUGAGGGAGCUAUCUUCCCGGGCCUGGCCAGGGGUCUUUAUGUCUCUCCUCCUCCAUGCUCCUGUCACUUCCCUCCGCUUCCAGUCAUUUUAAAUGUGCUUGUCUCCCGAGGACUCAAACACCAGCUGCUAGUCCACCAUCUGAAGAAAGCUCUCCAUACAAGCGAGAGUAUUGCCUGUGAGUGUGAAUGCUCUUAAGCUCUGUAGUAUUUUCAACUCAUCCAAACUGCCUAGCAUAGACAAACGCUCCUUGUGGAAUGGAUGUGUGCAUGUAACAAUUCUGGCAAGACGUCUUCAGUCGAUAGCUCCUGGCACUCAGUCCUUGAAAUUAAAGUAUCACGACAUCUUAAUUCCCUCCGCUCUAAGCCAUGGAGUUGGUCAGUUUUGCUAUACACCUACAGUCGGCCCAUGCAUCCUCUGGGUCUGUUUGCAAAGGGUAUUCUAAUGGCUGUAAUAUUUGAAUCGCUCUGCAUUUCCUGUGUACCCACCUCAUUAUCUUAACGGAAUCUGUAUGUCCUUUGUUUGGAGACCUGCAUACUGUAAAGGCUAUUACAGCUUACACUGGAGUGAAAAUAGUAGAUUUACGAGCUGUCUUCCAGUUCUUGUCUGCCCUCUCCUAAGGCCGCAACCCUGGAAAAUCAGUCACCGAAACCUGUUUUGGUGUCAAGUCUGAAAUUCUGCUUUCUACGAACAUUUCAUCAUGAAACCUUGGAAAUAAGCACACAGAGGUUUUUGCUCCUGACAUACCCCAGAAGGUCACAUGCUCUAAUUCAGCUUAAAGGGACACUAAUCAUAUUCAGUGUGUGAGCGGGGAGGCUUACAGUUGGAGAUGACACCAUCAUUUGCAUAGGAUGUAAAAAUGAAGGACCAUUAAUUUUAUAGCAUUAAUUGAAGAGCAGAAGUGUUAGACCUCUAUAAUUAUCUCCAGUGAAUACAUUUCAAAGACAUCUCUGCAAAUGAGGCUUGUGCGAGCGAAUGUGUGAGGACACAGACACAAAGAGCAGAAAGAAGCCUCCACUUUGUCCUCCUUCAAGAUGCAUAGAUUAGUGGGUUGUUAAGUUAAAACCCCAACUUAAAUUUGAAUUGCUUCUUCUGUGUGGAAACAAGACGUGUGUGAAUUCUAGACCCCCGGGGGGAUAGCUGGCACAAGGGGAGUACCCAGCCUAAAGGCUACAUUGCGGAGUCACUGGGAGAGAGAACAAGAGAAGUGGCAGCUCUAGCAGGUGGACCAUGUCCCCAUAUGUCCUUCUCCAACACUCCAUGCUCCAUCAAUCAUAGCUUCACCAGGAUCUGGUGCCCUUCUUCCUACCGUGUCUUUUCCUUACUCUGUAUUUACCAGUCCUGUGUAUAUUCCCACAGGCUAAUGUCUCAGAUCGAUAGACACGGGUUCAAAUAAAGGAUCACUUUGCAAUACUAGUCAUCUUAGUGGUUUGCAGUUCAAGGUCAAAAUGAAAGUGUUUUCUGUUUCUCUCUGUGUCUCUCUGUCUGUGUCUCUGUGUCUCUGUGUCUCUGUGUCUGUCUGUUUGUCUGUCUGCCUCUCUCUCUCUGUGUCUGUUUGUCUGUCUAGUAGGGUUUCAUGUAGUUCAGGUUGGCUAAAACUUGGUAUGUAGUUGAAGCCUUGAAGCCUUGAUCUUCCUGUCUCCACCUCCUGCCUGCUGGUACAAAGCACAACAUCCAGCUGGAAAAAAGCAUUCCUAAAGAUUUAAAGAGAAUAUUAUAGGAGUCAUUUAGGUGCCAUUAGCUUUGGAAUCAAAAGAAAUCAAAGUGGAAUAAAGGCUAUGGAUUACUGGGGAGUGAGCAAAAGAAGACAGCUGUGUAACUGUGGGUGACACUCUGCUGGGUCAAAACCAUCUCUCACCUCUCAGGACUGCUGGGCCAUUGUUUUCAGGGCUGAGGGUUCGGGAACAGAGGAAUCUGGGAAAGAGGAGGUACAGUCCAAGGCUUAAGAGCUACUUGGGAGUUUUAGUAAUUAUAUUGACAUGAAAGACUCAUCACUUUUAAAAAUAUGAGCUACCUCUGAACUUUAGAGUCCCACGAUCUCCCUGGGGUAUAAUUUUGGGUUCCUGAGGGUAAGGUUGGAAGCCAGUGGCGUAAAUCAGGGAAGGCUUUAGCUAAUGAGCUAAUCCGAUGCACACACUCAGUUAAAAUGCUCCUAUCUCCAGGGUCCCUGCAGGAGUGAUGACCCUGGUGAGAGUGUCAGGUACCACUAUACACGGGCAAAGGAGGAACUUGGGAACACGUGGGGCUUUUAAGAUAUCUUACCCUAUGGAGCACAGUCUAACUUCCCCGGAUUUAAGGGGUUAUCAGGGAUGGUGGCUGCUUCCUUUCAAUUCUUAUAUACCUCCCAGCUCAAUUUGCUUUUCAUUUCAUGCUUCAUUUCCUUAGUUUGGUACAACAUUCUUCUCCUUUUUACGGCUUCCUUGAGGUAGACUGUAUGUACAAUAAACUUUACAUAUUUAAAGUGUACAACUGGAUGUGUUUGGAAACACACCUACACAUGCACACAUACUCAGGAAGGCAAAGCAUCGGAUAUUUUUGUUACUACCCACAGCUACCUACGUCCUUUGCAAUGCUUCCUUCCCUCUGCCCUGGUCCCAGCAACUGCUGGCCUGUCUUCUAGUGUGCAUUUUCUGGAUGUUCAGCUAGAUGCUCACACAGGCGCAGAUUUCACCCAUCUUUGUUAGGUUCCUUUUAUACAUCAGGACCAUAUCUUGCUCUUCUGCUAGAAACAUUUGCCCAUCACACUAGAAAUAGCUUCAUGCUCCGCGACGGCCCAUGAUGUGACAAGAUCUGUAUCUUACACAGGAUGUGAGCACUGGCUUCUGUAUAUUGCUUUGUUCUGAGACAUUCACUAAACUAUACAGAUAGAGUCCCUUGUCUUAUUAGUUUUUAGGAGGGAGGGAGGGAAGGAGGGAGGGAGCGAGC
Molecule: long non-coding RNA, 11868 nt
Organism: Rattus norvegicus (Norway rat)
Lineage: Eukaryota; Metazoa; Chordata; Mammalia; Rodentia; Muridae
Source: RefSeq, a predicted model, not a curated record